AAAUUUAGGUUACUUAAACCAAGGGCCUUCAAAGCCCUAAACGGGACAUAUCCCAAUUUCUG
This 62-nucleotide transfer RNA is filed under the name Gekko hokouensis. RNAcentral's name for it is "tRNA-Trp". The record is from RNAcentral. Lineage: Eukaryota; Metazoa; Chordata; Lepidosauria; Squamata; Gekkonidae.